RNAcentral lists this long non-coding RNA (603 nucleotides) under Ananas comosus (pineapple). Its description in RNAcentral is "long non-coding RNA (ACOM_LNC029325)". Lineage: Eukaryota; Viridiplantae; Streptophyta; Magnoliopsida; Poales; Bromeliaceae. The record is from RNAcentral.
CCCCGUUUCUUCGGACCUCUCAAUACCCCAUUCGAAGUCAUUGAUGAUGGAAUGGGUGAUCUACAUUGCUGCGACUAUCUCCAGCAUCUUUGGUUUAAUACUUUCGAAAGAAGAGGGAAGGGGGAUCUUUGAUUCCCCGUUUCUUCGGACCCUUCAACAUUUCUUUGAAAAUGUCAAAUCAAAUUUGCCAGCCGAACAGAUUCGCGCCACCGUCAUCAACUUCACCGUCGACAUCUACGACAUCGCCGGUUUAAUACUUUCGAAAGAAGAGGGGAGGGGGAUCUUUAAUUCCCCGUUUCUUUGGACCGUUCAACAUUUCUUCGAAAAUAUCAAAUCAAAUCCGACGGUCAAACAAAUCCGCGCCACUGUCAUCAACUUCAGUGACAUCAUCUACAACACCGACGGUUUGACACUUUCGAAAGAAGAGGGGAGGGGAAUCUUUGAUUCCCCGUUUCUUCGAACCCUUCAAAAUUUCUUCGAAAAUGUCAAAUCAAAUCCGAUAGCCGAACAGAUCCACGCCACCGUUAUUAACUUCGUCGACAUCAUCUGCAGCAUCGCUAGAAGACCAAACGGGGAUUUCUUCGGACCCCAAAUCAAGAUCAA